This 301-nucleotide ribosomal RNA is filed under the name uncultured bacterium. Its description in RNAcentral is "partial 16S ribosomal RNA". It matches the Rfam family "Bacterial small subunit ribosomal RNA", at positions 509 to 807 of the family's 1533-position model. The record is from RNAcentral.
CAGCCGCCGCGGGAAUACGAAGGGUGCAAGCGUUAAUCGGAAUUACUGGGCGUAAAGCGUGCGUAGGCGGUGAGUUAAGUCUGCUGUGAAAUCCCCGGGCUCAACCUGGGAAUGGCAGUGGAUACUGGCUCGCUAGAGUGUGUCAGAGGAUGGUGGAAUUCCCGGUGUAGCGGUGAAAUGCGUAGAGAUCGGGAGGAACAUCAGUGGCGAAGGCGGCCAUCUGGGACAACACUGACGCUCAUGCACGAAAGCGUGGGGAGCAAACAGGAUUAGAUACCCCGGUAGUCCCUGUCUCUUAUAC